AGUGGACAUAUUUUCAAAAAUAAGUAAGGUAGUUAAAUAUUGACCCCUAAAAUUCCUGAGCCCCCAUUUCUAGCGUAAUGACUUACAAAUAUUUUACAUUGGUUAAGGUUGAAAUAAACAAAUAUACCUUUUUCUUUGCCAGGUUCAAACGGGAGGUACGAAAUGAGACGCAAAAAGUGAAUCGCACUUCUUUGGACAAACAUGAGGCCACUCCUCCACCAAUCGAGGAGUCUGUCUACAAAUACUCGAAUUUCGAGGAGCUGAGGCGUUCCCCUGCGUUCGUCGACAAACAUCUCCUCAUAAAGCAUUUGCUGGACCCAAAACCGAAUCUCUCCACGCGGCUGUACAUAACAGCGCCUGGCCUCUUCGGCAAGACGCUAAACCUCGACAUGCGUGAUCGUUUUCUAAGAUUACAAAAGACAAGACACAGGAGAGCUGAUGGAACACCCCGCAAAACCAACCAGACUAAAUUAUUCUCAGGCACAAAGAUUUCACCCAGGAGAAUGAUUUAUACACGCCCAUCAUGGACAAUACAUCGUACUGCGCUUAUCACUAGGACCGUUAUAUAAUAUAACGACCUACAUCAUGUUCAAAACACCCUUUGCAGCAUUAUCAGUGACGCGGAAUGGCAGAUAGACUCGAUGUCAGGCAAGUCGGAGUGACGAAAAAAUGACGUCGUUAGCGUAUUAUCGCGAGCACUGUAGAAACUGAACUUCCUGUCUGCGGCGGAUAUACUUCCACUUCGGCUAAAGCGCCUUUCGGAGACCCUUGGGAAAAGGGCCGUCUUGCUUGGGAUGACUUGGACAUACUGUUGCGUGCACUCGAUCAGGAGAACGCUUCCGGAUACGAAAUCUAUCUAUAAACUAUGAGCCGCGUCAUAGUUAGACUGACGCACUCCGACGUCGUUAGAAUGUCUGUGGCUGUCGGGAGGUUGAAUUUUGGAGGUGUGAUGUCCAGUAUUGCCAACUGCACUCACGUUGCCUUCAACGGAAAUGCAGGUUUGGCUCCGUUUUUUGGUCUGACCAAAAGUGAAGUCCACGAUCUCGUGGAGGCUUACCGUUUGCCUUUGCCGCAGCAAUUGAGCUGUACUACAACGGUUACGAGGUUAUGGGCUCAGAUUUGCGCAUCUACAACUCGUUUUCGAUUGCGUCACUCGUCGGGUCCAGAAGUUCGACUUUUACUGGCCAGAAUCAGGUUGCUCCUUUAUUCCCGUUCACGGCAGCUUUUUGCCACGCCAUUGAUCGGUACACAGGUAGCAUUCAGCGUCUUCGCGAAGUGGAUUCUCCGCCCCGAAAGGCAUCCCUGCAUCCAUCGGAUCAGUCACAAACCUACAGGCGCAACUCGAGAGGAAGACCCCGAAGAUCAACGAGACCCACUCGGCGGUUUUUAUGUGGUAUCUCCUGGAAACGGUGUUACUACACCAUCGGCGCCCACAAUCGAGGCUCGCAGAUGCGUCUGGCCGCCUGGAGACGGUGGUUCCCGUGAUGGCUCAGCUCUUCUUGAGCGGCUACUACGAGCGCUACUACGAGUACACAAGCAACGCCCAAGUCAUAUUCCUGGCCGCCGUCGCCAAACUGUCCCCCUGCCCAAGUUCCUACGACCGACUGCAUGGCCAUACACAACCUGUAUCCAUAGGCCAUACACAACCAUGUAUCAUUGGUUGAGUUGGCCAUUUCGUCGCAGACCGGGGUUGCUGGGCAAUUUAGUUGCCAUCUUCUCCUCGACGCAGGCGGUGCAUGCUGGUGUCACGGAUGUCGUGUACGGGAAGCGGGUGCCGCUCGACAGAAGGAGGUGAGUGAAUUGAGGGGGCGUUCAAGUAUUACGUAGGUAACGCACCUUUUCCAAUUUUUCGACCAUCCCUUCCCUUGUAACGCACCCGUAACGCAGUCCUACAUCCCCACCUAGAAAACAACACAAAAAUUUAGUUCCAGUAUUCUAAUUUUAAUUAUUCAGUUGCAUGCUUAUUUUUUGUUUUAGUUUUUACAUUUUUAGCCUUUUUUUCCAGUUGAGAAAGGGCAUGUAACUGGCCCGAAACGUCCCUGGUUUGUUUUUAUUUCUCCUUUUCCUUGUAUACCCAUUUGUUUUUGUAUUUUAAUGUGUUCUCAUUAUUA
Molecule: long non-coding RNA, 2111 nt
Filed under: Bemisia tabaci
Lineage: Eukaryota; Metazoa; Arthropoda; Insecta; Hemiptera; Aleyrodidae
Description: lncRNA ENSSWEETPG004796
Source: RNAcentral